Molecule: ribosomal RNA, 423 nt
Filed under: uncultured bacterium
Lineage: Bacteria
Description: bacterial SSU rRNA
Rfam family: Bacterial small subunit ribosomal RNA
Source: RNAcentral
AGUCGCGCGAGAAGUGACCUUCGGGUCGCGAGUACAGCGGCAGACGGGUGAGUAACACGUGGGUAACCUAUCCUUGAGUGGGGGACAACCCGGGGAAACCCGGGCUAAUACCGCAUAACAUCUCAGAAAUUUCGGAAUUUGAGAUCAAAGCAGGGGAUCUUCGGACCUUGUGCUUAAGGAGGGGCCCGCGCCCGAUUAGCUUGUUGGCGGGGUAAUGGCCCACCAAGGCAACGAUCGGUAGCCGGCCUGAGAGGGCGAUCGGCCACACUGGGACUGAGGCACGGCCCAGACUCCUACGGGAGGCAGCAGUGAGGAAUCAUGCGCAAUGGGGGAAACCCUGACGCUGCGACGCCGCGUGGACGAUGAAGGCCUUCGGGUCGUAAAGUCCUGUCGAGAGGGAAGAAAGCUGUUGUCGAUAAUACC